RNAcentral lists this ribosomal RNA (501 nucleotides) under uncultured bacterium. RNAcentral describes it as "partial 16S ribosomal RNA". It matches the Rfam family "Bacterial small subunit ribosomal RNA", at positions 30 to 523 of the family's 1533-position model. The record is from RNAcentral.
AUUGAACGCUGGCGGCAGGCUUAACACAUGCAAGUCGAGCGGGGGAAGGUAGCUUGCUACCGGACCUAGCGGCGGACGGGUGAGUAAUGCUUAGGAAUCUGCCUAUUAGUGGGGGACAACAUCUCGAAAGGGAUGCUAAUACCGCAUACGUCCUACGGGAGAAAGCAGGGGAUCUUCGGACCUUGCGCUAAUAGAUGAGCCAAAGUCGGAUUAGCUAGUUGGUGGGGUAAAGGCCUACCAAGGCGACGAUCUGUAGCGGGUCUGAGAGGAUGAUCCGCCACACUGGGAGUGAGACACGGCCCAGACUCCUACGGGAGGCAGCAGUGGGGAAUAUUGGACAAUGGGGGGAACCCUGAUCCAGCCAUGCCGCGUGUGUGAGGAAGGCCUUAUGGUUGUAAAGCACUUUAAGCGAGGAGGAGGCUACUCUAGUUAAUACCUAGGGAUAGUGGACGUUACUCGCAGAAUAAGCACCGGCUAACUCUGUGCCAGCCGCCGCAGUAA